UUGGAGUAGGCCAGCUCAGACCGAACUCAUUUCCUGCCUUUUACCGGAUGUGACCGUGAGUUGGCCUGAAAUACUCCCUAACCCAAUCUUUGGAAACUCUCUGGAUAUCCCAGAUU
RNAcentral lists this small nuclear RNA (116 nucleotides) under Thermochaetoides thermophila DSM 1495. Its description in RNAcentral is "U5 snRNA from Chaetomium thermophilum var. thermophilum DSM 1495 (PDB 9L5S, chain 5)". It matches the Rfam family "U5 spliceosomal RNA". Rfam says of the family: U5 RNA is a component of both types of known spliceosome. The record is from Rfam by way of RNAcentral. Lineage: Eukaryota; Fungi; Ascomycota; Sordariomycetes; Sordariales; Chaetomiaceae.